UACGUAGGGGGCAAGCGUUGUCCGGAUUUAUUGGGCGUAAAGAGCGUGUAGGCGGUUUGGUAGGUCCGUUGUGAAAACUCGAGGCUCAACCUCGAGACGCCGGUGGAAACCGUAAGGCUAGAGUCCGGAAGAGGAGAGUGGAAUUCCUGGUGUAGCGGUGGAAUGCGCAGAUAUCAGGAGGAACACCGAUGGCGAAGGCAGGUCUCUGGGCAUUAACUGACGCUGAGGAGCGAAAGCAUGGGGAGCGAACAGG
RNAcentral lists this ribosomal RNA (253 nucleotides) under uncultured bacterium. Its description in RNAcentral is "partial 16S ribosomal RNA". It matches the Rfam family "Bacterial small subunit ribosomal RNA", at positions 524 to 776 of the family's 1533-position model. The record is from RNAcentral.